GACGAACGCUGGCGGCGUGCUUAACACAUGCAAGUCGAGCGGUAAGGCCCUUUCGGGGGUACACGAGCGGCGAACGGGUGAGUAACGCGUGGGUGACCUGCCCUCAGCUCUGGGAUAAGCCUGGGAAACCGGGUCUAAUACCGGAUAUGACUCCAUGACGCAUGUUGUGGGGUGGAAAGCCUUGUGCGGCUGAGGAUGGGCCCGCGGCCUAUCAGCUUGUUGGUGGGGUGAUGGCCUACCAAGGCGACGACGGGUAGCCGGCCUGAGAGGGCGACCGGCCACACUGGGACUGAGACACGGCCCAGACUCCUACGGGAGGCAGCAGUGGGGAAUCUUGCGCAAUGGGCGAAAGCCUGACGCAGCGACGCCGCGUGUGGGAUGACGGCC
Molecule: ribosomal RNA, 387 nt
Filed under: uncultured bacterium
Lineage: Bacteria
Description: bacterial SSU rRNA
Rfam family: Bacterial small subunit ribosomal RNA
Source: RNAcentral